RNAcentral lists this ribosomal RNA (484 nucleotides) under uncultured bacterium. RNAcentral describes it as "partial 16S ribosomal RNA". It matches the Rfam family "Bacterial small subunit ribosomal RNA", at positions 29 to 507 of the family's 1533-position model. The record is from RNAcentral.
AUUGAACGCUGGCGGAAUGCUUUAUACAUGCAAGUCGAACGGCAGCACGGGGGCAGCCCUGGUGGCGAGUGGCGAACGGGCGAGUAAUACAUCGGAACGUGCCCGGUCGUGGGGGAUAACGUAGCGAAAGUUAAGCUAAUACCGCAUACGAUCUGAGGAGGAAAGCGGGGGACCUUGGUUCCUCGCGCGAUCGGAGUGGCCCAUGUCAGAGUAGAUACGGGGCGGGGUAAAGGCAGACCAAGCCUACGAUCUGUAGCUGGUGUGAGAGGACGACCAGCCACACUGGGACUGAGACACGGCCCAGACUCCUACGGGAGGCAGCAGUGGGGAAUUUUGGACAAUGCGCGCAAGCCUGAUCCAGCCAUUCCGCGUGCAGGACGAAGGCCUUCGGGUUGUAAACUGCUUUUGUGCGGAAAGAAAAGGCUCUGGCUAAUACCUGGGGCUCAUGACGGUACCGUAAGAGUAAGCACCGGCUAACUACGUG